CCGGCAGCACCUUGCAAAGGCAUUAGGAGCUGCGCACGAGGCUUCCUGCGCCUGUCUGUACCUGUCACCCCACAGCAGCACAACAGCCGUCGCUGUUUCGAUUGCUUCUUGCAGAUAAAAUGAGCUGCCCCGUAAACCGGAUUGUUUCAAUUCAUAUCCUAUCUUAAGCAAAAGGCUUUGUCUGAAUCCGUCAUGAAGUCACCAGCCAAGAGUGCCAGAGGAUUUUGCUGGACCUGAGCUUUUCAGUGGUGGAAAUAGCUCCUAAGCACUGAACUGCAGACCGACAAGAGCAGAGCACUUGGACUCUCUUAUCUCCUCUGCCGACAAGCAUUCCUUCUCCUACACAUCACCGUUAGGGGAGCAAAACUUUAUCUGCAUGACUAACACCAUAAUGUCCUAAUCCAUUUAACUGUAUGGAUAUGUUACAUGCCAAAUCCUUGGGAUACAAUUUCCUAUAUUUUAAAGCAAGUUGUCAUCAUGCAGUGCUCUACCAAGCMGAGCUAUAACCACCCAUUGUUGCUCUUCUCCCAGGUGGCAGAGUAGACCUGUUUGAAGGAAGUCCCAACUGAUCUUCCACUGUUUUUUGGUUGCUCAAAUCCUCAGAAAACGCUUCAGUACGAAGUGGUGCUUCUCUUCAGUCAUCUCCACACUGGUGGUGCCUGCUGAUGUCACUGCAGAGAGCUGCCCUUUUUUUGUCUCCACUGUUUGGAAGGAUCAAGCUUUUUAUUCCAGUGACUCAACAAGCAGUCAAGAAGGAUCCUUGCCUCAAGAACAGCAGCUCCUCUGAGAAACGAGAGAGGACGGGUGUGCUCCGGGAGCAGAGGACAACAACUGAAGCUGUAGCUGCUGCCACAGUUUGGCACAAGCGCCCUCRGAAGCAGCUGUGAGAAAGGCACCCUCUCCCCUUCCCUCACACGGCCGUGCUGGGCCAGCUGGAGGGCACCGUGGUGCUCGCUAGCUGGGCUCGUGGGCACGGCGUGAAUUGUGCCCCAGAGGUGCCUGYGUGUAGCUGAGACUGCGCUGCAGGUGGCUGCUGUGCUCGUCAGCA
This is a long non-coding RNA of Nothoprocta perdicaria, 1048 nucleotides long. RefSeq lists it as uncharacterized. The record is from RefSeq and is a predicted model, not a curated record. Lineage: Eukaryota; Metazoa; Chordata; Aves; Tinamiformes; Tinamidae. The transcript has 4 exons.